RNAcentral lists this RNase P RNA (661 nucleotides) under bacterium. RNAcentral describes it as "RNase P RNA component class A". It matches the Rfam family "Bacterial RNase P class A". From Rfam's summary of the family: Ribonuclease P (RNase P) is a ubiquitous endoribonuclease, found in archaea, bacteria and eukarya as well as chloroplasts and mitochondria. The record is from RNAcentral.
GAAGAAGACUGGAUGAUCGCUCCGUACCACUCGCUUCGCUUCGCUCAAUUUGGGCAAAAGGGGUCUGCCCCGUACCUGAGUACCUGAGCGUAGUGAAACGAAGCGAAUGGUACGGGGAGGAAAGUCCGAACACCCUCCGCCAAUGGCGGAGAAGCAGGUACCUUCGAAAUGAAGGCGGGAGUAAAGAGGAUGCAAGAAGUUCUAUAGACUUUUUGGAUUCUUUGAAGCCCAGGGAUAGUGUCACAGAGACUAUACCGCCCACUGGCCCGUUAAUGACUUGCGGGUUAAGGGUAAGGGUGAAAAGAGUGGCCCACCUAUGCUCUUCGAGCUUUGGCGGGCGCGGUUCCGCUUUUCGGCGGAAUCACGGGUAAGAGCCCACAGGUGCGGCGCGCAAUCGCCGUACGCGAAAAACCCUGCCUGGUGCAAGACCGAGUAGGCCCGUACCAGUCUCCGUUAAGGAUUCCGGUACAGGCGGGUAGGUCGCUACAGCCUCAUGGCGACAUGAGGCGCAGAGAGAUGAUCAUCCCUCAACUCUUCCUCGCUGCGUUUGGGUUUGCCCAGGGCAAGUUUCCUUACAAGUAGGGACUUGUCUCGAGUGAGUCCCGAGUAUAGCGAGGGACGAGUCGAGAGACAGAAUUCGGCUUAUAGGUCUUCUUCAGAC